UUGACCUCGGAUCAGGUAGGGAUACCCGCUGAACUUAAGCAUAUCAAUAAGCGGAGGAAAAGAAACCAACAGGGAUUGCCUUAGUAACGGCGAGUGAAGCGGCAAUAGCUCAAAUUUGAAAGCUGGCGUCUUCGACGUCCGCGUUGUAAUUUGUAGAGGACGCUUCGGCGAAGACUCCUGCCUAAGUCCCCUGGAACGGGGCGUCAUAGAGGGUGAGAAUCCCGUAUGUGGCGGGCGGUCCGAGCCAUGUGAAGCUCCUUCGACGAGUCGAGUUGUUUGGGAAUGCAGCUCUAAAUGGGAGGUAAAUUUCUUCUAAAGCUAAAUAUUGGCCAGAGACCGAUAGCGCACAAGUAGAGUGAUCGAAAGAUGAAAAGCACUUUGGAAAGAGAGUUAAAAAGUACGUGAAAUUGUUGAAAGGGAAGCGCUUGCAACCAGACUCGCUCGUUAGUUGCUCAGCCGGCCUCUUGGCCGGUGUACUCUUCUGCGAUCGGGCCAGCAUCAGUUCGGGCGGCCGGAUAAAGGUGUCGGGAAUGUAGCACCCUUCGGGGUGUGUUAUAGCCCGGCGCGGAAUGCGGCCAGCCUGGACUGAGGAUCUCGCUUCGGCAAGGAUGCUGGCGUAAUGGUUGUAAGCGGCCCGUCU
Molecule: ribosomal RNA, 640 nt
Filed under: Guignardia sp. MUCC0118
Lineage: Eukaryota; Fungi; Ascomycota; Dothideomycetes; Botryosphaeriales; Phyllostictaceae
Also listed under: 1 other name
Description: eukaryotic LSU rRNA
Rfam family: Eukaryotic large subunit ribosomal RNA
Source: RNAcentral